UACGUAGGGUGCGAGCGCUAAUCGGAAUUACUGGGCGUAAAGUGUGCGCAGGCGGCCGAGCAAGUCGAGUGUGAAAGCCCCGGGCUUAACUUGGGAAUUGCGCUCGAAACUACUUGGCUGGAGUGUGGCAGAGGAAGGUGGAAUUCCAGGUGUAGCGGUGAAAUGCGUAGAGAUCUGGAGGAACACCGAUGGCGAAGGCAGCCUUCUGGGCCAACACUGACGCUCAUGCACGAAAGCGUGGGGAGCAAACAGG
RNAcentral lists this ribosomal RNA (253 nucleotides) under uncultured bacterium. RNAcentral describes it as "partial 16S ribosomal RNA". It matches the Rfam family "Bacterial small subunit ribosomal RNA", at positions 524 to 776 of the family's 1533-position model. The record is from RNAcentral.